CAAGGAAUUUUCCCCAAUGGGCUCACGCCUGAGGGAGCAACGCCGCGUGGGGGAUGACGGCCUUCGGGUUGUAAACUCCUUUUGGGUGGGAAGAUCAUGACGGUACCAUCCGAAUAAGCCCCGGCUAACUCCGUGCCAGCAGCCGCGGUAAGACGGAGGGGGCAAGCGUUGUCCGGACUCACUGGGCGUAAAGCGCACGUAGGCGGUUCGGUGCGUCGCUGCUGAAAGCGCCAGGCUUAACCUGGCGAGGCGUGGCGAUACGACCGCACUAGAGGCAGGCAGAGGGUGGCGGAAUUCCGGGUGUAGUGGUGAAAUGCGUAGAGAUCCGGAGGAACGCCUGUGGCGCAAGCGGCCACCUGGGCCUGUCCUGACGCUGAGGUGCGAAAGCGUGGGGAGCGAACC
This 402-nucleotide ribosomal RNA is filed under the name uncultured Oscillochloris sp. RNAcentral describes it as "partial 16S ribosomal RNA". It matches the Rfam family "Bacterial small subunit ribosomal RNA", at positions 355 to 774 of the family's 1533-position model. The record is from RNAcentral. Lineage: Bacteria; Bacillati; Chloroflexota; Chloroflexia; Chloroflexales; Oscillochloridaceae.